This 70-nucleotide transfer RNA is filed under the name Leocrates chinensis. RNAcentral's name for it is "tRNA-Ser". It matches the Rfam family "tRNA". From Rfam's summary of the family: Transfer RNA (tRNA) molecules are approximately 80 nucleotides in length. Lineage: Eukaryota; Metazoa; Annelida; Polychaeta; Phyllodocida; Hesionidae. The record is from RNAcentral. RNAcentral also lists the same sequence under 1 other name.
GAGAGGGGUGAAGACACUUCGCUAGACUUCUAAUCUUGCGCAAGAGAGGUUCAAUUCCUUUCCCCUUUCU